RNAcentral lists this transfer RNA (73 nucleotides) under Selaginella moellendorffii. It matches the Rfam family "tRNA". From Rfam's summary of the family: Transfer RNA (tRNA) molecules are approximately 80 nucleotides in length. The record is from Rfam by way of RNAcentral. Lineage: Eukaryota; Viridiplantae; Streptophyta; Lycopodiopsida; Selaginellales; Selaginellaceae.
GGGGAUGUAACUCAGCUGGUAGAGCGUUCUCUUAGCACACGAGAGGCACUGGGAUCGAUACCCAGCAUCUCCA